CCCAAAGUCAUGGUUAAGUGGGAAACGAUGUGGGAAGGCUUAGACAGCUAGGAGGUUGGCUUAGAAGCAGCCACCCUUUAAAGAAAGCGUAAUAGCUCACUAGUCGAGUCGGCCUGCGCGGAAGAUGUAACGGGGCUCAAACCAUGCACCGAAGCUACGGGUAUCACCUUUUGGUGAUGCGGUAGAGGAGCGUUCUGUAAGCCUGUGAAGGUGAGUUGAGAAGCUUGCUGGAGGUAUCAGAAGUGCGAAUGCUGACAUGAGUAACGACAAUGCGAGUGAAAAACUCGCACGCCGAAAGACCAAGGUUUCCUGCGCAACGUUAAUCGACGCAGGGUUAGUCGGUCCCUAAGGCGAGGCUGAAAAGCGUAGUCGAUGGAAAACAGGUUAAUAUUCCUGUACUUCCAGUUAUUGCGAUGGAGGGACGGAGAAGGUUAGGCCAGCCUGGCGUUGGUUGUCCAGGUUUAAGGUGGUAGGCUGAAAUCUUAGGCAAAUCCGGGAUUUCAAGGCCGAGAGCUGAUGACGAGUUGCCUUUAGGCGACGAAGUGGUUGAUACCAUGCUUCCAAGAAAAGCUCCUAAGCUUCAGAUAACUGGGAACCGUACCCC
Molecule: ribosomal RNA, 604 nt
Filed under: Streptococcus pneumoniae
Lineage: Bacteria; Bacillati; Bacillota; Bacilli; Lactobacillales; Streptococcaceae
Description: partial 23S ribosomal RNA
Rfam family: Bacterial large subunit ribosomal RNA
Source: RNAcentral